RNAcentral lists this ribosomal RNA (253 nucleotides) under uncultured bacterium. RNAcentral's name for it is "partial 16S ribosomal RNA". It matches the Rfam family "Bacterial small subunit ribosomal RNA", at positions 524 to 776 of the family's 1533-position model. The record is from RNAcentral.
UACGUAGGGUGCAAGCGUUAAUCGGAAUUACUGGGCGUAAAGCGUGCGCAGGCGGUUCGGAAAGAAAGAUGUGAAAUCCCAGGGCUUAACCUUGGAACUGCAUUUUUAACUACCGGGCUAGAGUGCGUCAGAGGGGGGUGGAAUUCCGCGUGUAGCAGUGAAAUGCGUAGAUACGCGGAGGAGCACCGAUGGCGAAGGCAGCCCCCUGGGAUGACACUGACGCUCAUGCACGAAAGCGUGGGGAGCAAACAGG